This is a non-coding RNA of Carica papaya (papaya), 921 nucleotides long. The record is from RefSeq and is a predicted model, not a curated record. NCBI's taxonomy places the organism in Eukaryota, Viridiplantae, Streptophyta, Magnoliopsida, Brassicales, Caricaceae.
UAGUUUCAUGAAUAUUAAUAGUGAUAUUACUAGGAUCUACAUUUCUCUAUUUUUGGAUGCACCCCAAGUUUUAUCCUAGGAGAGAAUACUACCUGUAAAUAGUAUGCAGCUGUUAUACAGGAUCUGGGCCAAUAUGGAACAUCUUUCAAGUUGUACUCUUUAAUAUAUUUUGCUUUUGCCUUUUGAUCAAGGAUAUGAAUAUUUGAUAGAACAUAGUUGUGCAAUCUCUUUGUAUAUUGCCAAAGAGACACCCCAAAAGAUACCGUGAACCUUAAUCCCAAGUGAUAACAGAAAAACCAGUCUAUCCCAGAGCAUUUGGGGGGAUUGGAAAGAGGCUUUUAAGUGCUCUUGCACUCCUUACUAGCCACAGCACCCCCAAUUUAACGAAGUUUCUCUCCAUGUAUAGAGGAGAAAAUGAAGAUUUCUAAAGAAGGGAAAGACAGCUAAAGAGAACCAAUGAUGUCAAAGAGCCUAGCUUUAAGUCUCUAAGCCUCUUUGUAGUAAAGAAACAAGUGACUAUGGGAUUUGGAAUUAUGAGAAAACAUAACUGAAAUGAUCUUUUUAGAGAAAGCACACAAUUGGGUCUUUAUGAUUGAACUAGGUUAUAUCAGAUAGCAAUGGAUUUUGGGUCCAAAUCUUCUUCAAUUAAGGUUGGGCAUGUCCACUUUUGUUUUUUUUUUGUAGGGUGUUUAUGACUGAACUAGGUUAUAUCAGAUAGCAAUGGAUUUUGGGUCCAAAUCUUCUUCAAUUAAGAGAAAUGUCUUUUAAUGGUUCUCCAGUGCAAAGAUUAAAAUCAGGGACUGGGUUUGAAGAUUCUUUGAAGAGGACAGAAAAAUAUGAUCAGUCAGGGCUUGAAAAUUGUAGAGACGGAUCUUUAGUUGAUGGUCUUAGGAGCAGCCUUGACAUUGACAGACUGAAGAA